This 468-nucleotide ribosomal RNA is filed under the name uncultured bacterium. Its description in RNAcentral is "partial 16S ribosomal RNA". It matches the Rfam family "Bacterial small subunit ribosomal RNA", at positions 28 to 507 of the family's 1533-position model. The record is from RNAcentral.
GACGGACGCUGGCGGCGUGCUUAACACAUGCAAGUCGAACGGAAAGGCCCUGCUUUUGUGGGGUGCUCGAGUGGCGAACGGGUGAGUAACACGUGAGUAACCUGCCCUUGACUGUGGGAUAACUUCAGGAAACUGGGGCUAAUACCGGAUAGGAGCUCCUGCUGCAUGGGGGGGGUUGGAAAGUUUCGGCGGUGGGGGAUGGACUCGCGGCUUAUCAGCUUGUUGGUGGGGUAGGGGCUGACCAAGGCUUUGACGGGUAGCCGGCCUGAGAGCGUGACCGGCCACAUUGCGCCUGAGAUACGGCCCAGACUCCUACGUGACGCAGCAGUGGGGAGUCUUGCACAAUGGGCGCACGCCUGAUGCAGCAACGCCGCGUGCGUGAUGACGGCCUUCGGGUUGUAAACCGCUUUCGCCUGUGCCGAAGCGUGAGUGACGGUAAUGGGUAAAGAAGCCCCGGCUAACUACGUG